Molecule: long non-coding RNA, 745 nt
Organism: Rhinopithecus roxellana (golden snub-nosed monkey)
Lineage: Eukaryota; Metazoa; Chordata; Mammalia; Primates; Cercopithecidae
Exons: 3
Source: RefSeq, a predicted model, not a curated record
CGUGCACAUCUCCAUCAUCAGGGAUAUCAGUAAUGUUAUCGGCAUCCAUGCUCCAGCACCAGUCAUUGUCAUGAGGGACCUGGAUCACCGUAUGUUGAGCUUUGACUCGUGGCAGUCACACACAUACAGGGCAUACUAACCGAAUGUCAUCCUGAAGACUCAGGGUGGAGGAAUUACUCAGCACAGUGGAGGAGUUAGAAAAUAAGUUGCUGGUGAGAUCAAUUCUGAUCAAAGAGAAUGCGAUGAGAAAAAACUGAAUAACAGAUGACUAUCCUCUCCCUCUGGUCUGGGAGGUGGAGCCUACCUGCCAGCUUUUCUAUGUACCAAAAUCUGGAAAUAAUCCUAAAGUCCGUUCAACAGUACAAUGGACAAAUAUGGCACACAUUCAUACAGUGAAAAUGAAUGAUCUGCUGCUACACACAACAUGGAUGGAUGCCACAAAUAUAAUGACUAAAAUAUAACUAACUAAAAGAAGCCAGACAUAAAAGAACGCAGACUUGUCUGACUCCAUUCACAAAGAAUACAAAACCAGGCAAAAGAAGGCUACAGUGCUAGAAGUCAGGACUGUGAUUACCCUUGAAUGGAGGGGAGGGAGGGACUGGAAGAGGACGUAUGUUCUACUACAUGAUCUAGGUGCUGGUUACAGAGAAGUGUUUACUUUGUGAAAAUUCACUGAAGUUCAUAUUUCAUAUGUGAUCACUUUUCUAAAAUGACGUUUCAAAUUUUUCUUUUUUUUGAGACGGAG